RNAcentral lists this ribosomal RNA (898 nucleotides) under Bacillus sp. RAG-52. Its description in RNAcentral is "bacterial SSU rRNA". It matches the Rfam family "Bacterial small subunit ribosomal RNA", at positions 56 to 934 of the family's 1533-position model. Lineage: Bacteria; Bacillati; Bacillota; Bacilli; Caryophanales; Bacillaceae. The record is from RNAcentral.
UGCAAGUCGAGCGGACAGAUGGGAGCUUGCUCCCUGAUGUUAGCGGCGGACGGGUGAGUAACACGUGGGUAACCUGCCUGUAAGACUGGGAUAACUCCGGGAAACCGGGGCUAAUACCGGAUGGUUGUUUGAACCGCAUGGUUCAGACAUAAAAGGUGGCUUCGGCUACCACUUACAGAUGGACCCGCGGCGCAUUAGCUAGUUGGUGAGGUAACGGCUCACCAAGGCAACGAUGCGUAGCCGACCUGAGAGGGUGAUCGGCCACACUGGGACUGAGACACGGCCCAGACUCCUACGGGAGGCAGCAGUAGGGAAUCUUCCGCAAUGGACGAAAGUCUGACGGAGCAACGCCGCGUGAGUGAUGAAGGUUUUCGGAUCGUAAAGCUCUGUUGUUAGGGAAGAACAAGUGCCGUUCAAAUAGGGCGGCACCUUGACGGUACCUAACCAGAAAGCCACGGCUAACUACGUGCCAGCAGCCGCGGUAAUACGUAGGUGGCAAGCGUUGUCCGGAAUUAUUGGGCGUAAAGGGCUCGCAGGCGGUUUCUUAAGUCUGAUGUGAAAGCCCCCGGCUCAACCGGGGAGGGUCAUUGGAAACUGGGGAACUUGAGUGCAGAAGAGGAGAGUGGAAUUCCACGUGUAGCGGUGAAAUGCGUAGAGAUGUGGAGGAACACCAGUGGCGAAGGCGACUCUCUGGUCUGUAACUGACGCUGAGGAGCGAAAGCGUGGGGAGCGAACAGGAUUAGAUACCCUGGUAGUCCACGCCGUAAACGAUGAGUGCUAAGUGUUAAGGGGGUUUCCGCCCCUUAGUGCUGCAGCUAACGCAUUAAGCACUCCGCCUGGGGAGUACGGUCGCAAGACUGAAACUCAAAGGAAUUGACGGGGGCCCGCACAAGCGGUG